This 331-nucleotide unclassified non-coding RNA is filed under the name uncultured Basidiomycota. RNAcentral describes it as "sequence contains ITS2". The record is from RNAcentral. Lineage: Eukaryota; Fungi; Basidiomycota.
AACGCACCUUGCGCUCCUUGGUAUUCCUUGGAGCAUGCCUGUUUGAGUAUCAUGAGCAAAUCUCAAAGUCGAUCCUUUUGUUAAUUCAAUUGGUUUUGCUUUGGACUUGGAGGUCUUUGCAGAUUUCACCAUCUGCUCCUCUUAAAUGUAUUAGCUGGAUCUCAGUAUUUAUGCUUGGUUCCACUCGGCGUGAUAAGUAUCACUCGCUGAGGACACUGGUAAAAAAGGUGGCCAGGAAAAUACUGAUCGAACCGCUUCUAACGGUCUAUUAACUUAGACAAUUACCCUUAAGUUUGAUCUCAAAUCAGGUAGGACUACCCGCUGAACUUAA